Molecule: ribosomal RNA, 382 nt
Filed under: Dasia olivacea
Lineage: Eukaryota; Metazoa; Chordata; Lepidosauria; Squamata; Scincidae
Description: partial 16S rRNA
Rfam family: Bacterial large subunit ribosomal RNA (bases 268-382)
Source: RNAcentral
CACAGCAAAAGACCAAAAAUCCCAUGACGUCCUUCAACAUCCUAGAAAAACACUGAGCCACACUAUAAAUAUAGACGAACUAAUGUUAAAACUAGUAACAAGAAACUUUCUCCCAGCACCCCUGUGACCCAGAAAUAGACACCCUACUGGACAUUAACAGACCAAAAAAGGUACGACACCCACCAAGUCCUAUCAACUGUCAAACCAACACUGGCGUGCUAAAAAGACAGAUUAUAAAUCAUAUAAGGAACUCAGCAAAAUUUGUCUCAACUGUUUACCAAAAACAUAGCCUUUAGCCAAACAAGUAUUAAAGGUCCCGCCUGCCCAGUGAAACUUUUUAACGGCCGCGGUAUUCUAACCGUGCAAAGGUAGCGUAAUCACU